GGCCCGGUAGUUCAGUUUGGUUAGAACGCUAGCCUGUCACGCUAGAGGCCGAGGGUUCGAGUCCCUUCCGGGUCGCCA
Molecule: transfer RNA, 78 nt
Filed under: Clostridiales bacterium
Lineage: Bacteria; Bacillati; Bacillota; Clostridia; Eubacteriales
Description: tRNA-Asp
Rfam family: tRNA
About the family: Transfer RNA (tRNA) molecules are approximately 80 nucleotides in length. Their secondary structure includes four short double-helical elements and three loops (D, anti-codon, and T loops). Further hydrogen bonds mediate the characteristic L-shaped molecular structure. tRNAs have two regions of fundamental functional importance: the anti-codon, which is responsible for specific mRNA codon recognition, and the 3' end, to which the tRNAs corresponding amino acid is attached (by aminoacyl-tRNA synthetases). tRNAs cope with the degeneracy of the genetic code in two manners: having more than one tRNA (with a specific anti-codon) for a particular amino acid; and 'wobble' base-pairing, i.e. permitting non-standard base-pairing at the 3rd anti-codon position.
Source: RNAcentral